CCCUACUUGUACCCAGUUCUUAAGUGCGCAUCUUUUCCGUCCGCCAUUACUCCAGCCAGAUAAACUGGACAGAAUGUAUAUAGAUUAGUAUUAUGGAGAGUUGUUUUUCAUAAAAUUGAUGGGUUUUGAUUCACAUAUGGACAACAAUUUUAAUGCCUUUAAGCAGGAUAUAAAGGAAAUAAGUGUAAUGAAGAAAACAUCGAAGAAGAUGUUUACCAGGACAUGGAAAAAGAAACUGAAAUAGAGGAAAUAAACGAGGAGAAAGCAGACGAGUUCAAACAAGAAAAGAAGCAUGAAGAUAUCGACGAAGAAGAAAUUAAAGAUGAAGAUAUGGACUACGAGCACAACACAGAGAAAUAUCUUAAAGAAGAAGAAAACGAAGAAGACGAAAUGAGACCAGAGGAACAUUUCAUGAUACAAGAAAAGGAAUGAGAUUAAUGUUUAGAUAUCUUUUUCUUCACCAUCAAAUCUUAUGUGCAAUUUCUGAAUUUAGAUCGAAAGCACAGACUAAAAUAUGAAAAAUAUGUAUGAAAAGGGGGAAAUAGGUGGUAUAGUUUCUGGAUUCAGGAUGGCAAAAAUGAGCUAAAAUUAUGAAAUUUGUCAGGAAUUGUUGCAAUCCACCAAAAAGCAUCUUCAACCUGUAACUCAUGCAUUAAGAUCGAGUAAGAUGGAAGCGAUGGGUUUGGCUCAGGGCUAUGAUGCCAGUGAGCCAGGAAAUAUCUUUGAGGCGCUUAGUACAAAUCCUGACCGGUUGAAACUUCAUGCCUUCCUGUACGGAAUUUCCCAUCAGCAUCAUUUAGCACUAGAGCGCACCAGGCAAACGAAUACUGAAACUGCAGGCAAGAAAAUUGUGUCUGAAAUUCAGAAUUUCCUGGAAGAAGAUGUUGACUUGAAAAUACACAUUUCAUGUGUAUUGCUGGGGCACUUAGUGCAUCGUUAGAUGUGUGGCGCCCAAAAGUACGAGGUUUUCCAAAUGUAUCUACCGUGUUUUUGCCAAGCUAUGCAAGGAGCAGGCAGUGUGGCUUUUACUCUUUGUAAAAUAAAGGACCUCUUUGCAUUCGUGUAGCCAAAAUGGGAAAAACGACAAACUCGACACCCAUAAAACGCAGCAUAAAAGUUUAAAUUACAAGUUUUUUCCAACAUUUUUUGCCAAAUAAAAAUCUGAGUGAUUCUAAACUUUUGUGCCAUUCGUAUAUUAAGUUGUUUGUAUUUUUUUAGUUUUCCUCUAGGAGAACUUGGAUUGGAGAAAAUGAGAGGUUUUUUGUUUUAAAAAAUAUUUUAGACACGUAUAAAGAAAAUAAGAAUGACUCCUUUUAUUCUUGACACGUUUUCAUUUUGAUUCCAGAGUUGCUUGUUUCCAUCGUAUAAGCAUUUACAAAAGAGAUUUGAAUACACUAAAUGAUAAUAGUGGGUAUGCGACAUCAUCGUAGACGUCCUGUUAAGGUACUACCUGAAAAUCUAGGUGUAGCUUAAGUUAAUGACGAAAAUCACUCUGAAUGCAUGGCCUAUGUGUCAAAACAUUUACAUUCUUAUUUAUAGGUACUACUGUAAAUUAGCAGAAAAAAGAAAUUUAAAAUAUUUCGCAUUUAGCAAUUUCUUUCAACAGAAACUGUUAAUAGAUGGACUUCCGAGAAAGACCGCUGAGAUUAUCAGGAUGUUUCAUUUCAAAAGUGGGGAUGUACACACCUGAAGAAAUGUAUAAAUAUGAAUGUGUGCUAGUGUCAAUAUGUGACAUGCUGCAUUGGUGGCUCAUUGCAUACAAUAUUAGAGCAGGCAAACUCUAUGUGUUAUGCAGUAUGGGGUGGCAAAAAAGUGAAGUUGCAUCAAGUAUACGAAGGUAUAUGACAUAUUUUCAGCAUGUGAGGCAAGAGCAAAGAUGGCCAGAAGACAUUGCUCGAAUUUCCCAACCUAUAUAUGCCGACGUGAUACAACAAGCAAAUGGUUAUGACUGUGGCAUAUUCGUGACAGAAUUUGCGAGAAGAAUAACUGAGGGGGUAAAAUUUAUAAAAGAUAUCAUGAUUCUUAAUCACUUCGUUUACUCUGUUCAUAUAAAGAUAGUGUUCUUUUUGAUAGGGAGAAGUUGGUCCUCGAUUACUUGAUGAUAUCCAUGUAAAUUGUAAAAGACAAUACUGAUAAUACUAAAAAGACAAUACUGAUUCGAAGCUUUACCAUUUAGCAAAGCAAUUUGUAAUGAAGCAGAAUUUAGUUAAAAAGCUGGUGCAUAUGAAAGACAUUCUUAUAUUUAUAACAAGUGAUGUAAAUAAUUUUUUUACAAGUAACGACGUUACAAGAAAUUGUUACUUUUGCAGAAUCUUUAUGGGUAACUAUGAAGUAACGUUUUGUACAGAUAAAACUAUUCGUAAAAACAAGUUUAAGUUUUUCGAAAAACGAAACUAUAACGCGUUACUUUAAAGCAAUAUAAAGGAAAAUUGAAAUUAGUUAUAAAAAGUAA
This is a long non-coding RNA of Xenia sp. Carnegie-2017, 2452 nucleotides long. RefSeq lists it as uncharacterized. The record is from RefSeq and is a predicted model, not a curated record. NCBI's taxonomy places the organism in Eukaryota, Metazoa, Cnidaria, Anthozoa, Malacalcyonacea, Xeniidae. The transcript is spliced from 10 exons.